GAGAGAGGGAGAGUGUGUGUGAGAGAGGGAGAGUGUGUGUGUGAGAGAGAGAGAGUUUGUGUGAGCGAGAGAAAGAGUGUGUGAGAGGGAGGGAGAGUGUGUGUGUGAGAGAGAGGUUCCGAAGUUACAAAUUGAGCAGCAGCUGCUGAAAAACAAGCAACAAACGAAGAAGAUGGGCUUUUGAAAAAGUAACUAUUUUUCAUAAAAUUAUACAGUUAUCUUAGCUAGCUGAAUUGUUUACCAGUUACUAGGCAGUUGCUAGGGACUCUCCUGGAAGAAGCUAGCUAGCUAACAAAGAAUAUCUAGUUAACAGAAGAAAAGAAAGACAAAAUAAGACAAAAUAAGGACAGAAGACAAAGGACAUCAAAGUAAAACAGUCCUCUAUAGACACAAGAGACAAUAAUACAAGAAACAAUGCUGUUUUGGAAAAGGUAGGCUUCUAUUGCAACUUUGUAGCCAACAUCACCAGCGUUGCUAUGGAAAUUGUUUACCCACCAGACAUCCAAACAGAGAAAGCUAAGAAAAGUUUCAAAGGUUUGAUGAUGGCUCAGAACCAUAAAUGCCUGUUUGCAGAUAUUACCAGUUGCAAAACAAGAGCAAAUUUUAUAUUUAAUACCAAAUGAGGGCACAUAUGGAAAAGGGUUAUUUGCAACCAUUUCCCUUUCUCAAAAAAGAGAGGCAUCAGCCAAGGAUGUCAUAUCAGCAUUUUUGAAGAAGCUGACCAGAGCAACAUGUAUCAAACAGUAAACUUCUACAAUAAUGGAACUGUAUUGAUACAAGGCAAUGAUUCAAGCCCCCAGGCUUUUGAGAAUAGGUUUGCUACCCUAAAAGCAGAAGCUGAACUCAUCUCAGAAACUGAGGAAAAAGAAAAGGAGGGCGAUGGAGAAAAGCAGGCCCCAACGGUCUCUGUGACCCAGCAAGAAGCCCUUACUGUCCCUCUACCUACCUCACCUGCAGCAGACAGAGCCAAGGACAUGCCUACAACACCAAGAACACCUGCUAUGCAACGUUUCCACAACACCCUCUCUGUAGUCGAAGCAGAGGUCAUAGAACUCAGAGAGAACAAGCUUCAAGAGAAUGACACUGUCCAGAAACUAAAAGAGAUGAAACAGUUCAGGAAGGAAAGCAGAGCAUCUAUUGCUAAAUUAGAAAGCAGAAUGGACAAACUGAGUCAGACAACUGAUGACCUCAGAGACCAUCUGAGCACAACAAGAGAGGAGCUAGAACAAAGAGAGAGGUACAUUGACCCCCUCAACCACCAGCUAGUCAUUAUGUCCUCUGCAUCUAGAGAACAUGUCCACCAGCUUGGUACAACACAAGAAGAACCUGAGACCAGCAUGGCCUCCACCACACAGCCUGAUGACACUGCACCAGCGUCCCAGUCUGCUCCAGCCCAGAUCAGCCUCCCAGUCUGCUCCAGCCCAUGUCAGCCUCCCAGUCUGCUCCAGCCUAUGUCAGCCACCCAGUCUGCUCCAGCCCAGAUCAGCCUCCCAGUCUGCUCCAGCCCAGGUAAGCCAACCAGCGUCCCAGUCUGCUCCUGCCCAUGUCAGCCUACCUGCUUCCCAGUCUGCUCCAGCACAGUGUGCUCCAGCCCAGAUCAGCCUCCCAGUCUGCUCCAGCCCAGAUCAGCCUCCCAGUCUGCUCCAGCCCAGUGUGCUCCAGCCCAGAUCAGCCUUCCAGUCUGCUCCAGCCCAGAUCAGCCUCCCAGUCUGCUCCAGCACAGAUCAGCCUCCCAGUCUGCUCCAGCCCAUGUCAGCCUCCCAGUCUGCUCCAGCCUAUGUCAGCCACCCAGUCUGCUCCAGCCUAUGUCAGCCACCCAGUCUGCUCCAACCCAGAUCAGCCUCCCAGUCUGCUCCAGCCCAGGUAAGCCAACCAGCGUCCCAGUCUGCUCGUGCCCAUGUCAGCCUACCUGCUUUCCAGUCUGCUCCAGCACAGUGUGCUCCAGCCCAGAUUAGCCUCCCAGUCUGCUCCAGCCCAGAUCAGCCUUCCAGUCUGCUCCAGCCCAGUGUGCUCCAGCCCAGAUCAGCCUCCCAGUCUGCUCCAGCCCAGAUCAGCCUCCCAGUCUGCUCCAGCACAGUGUGCUCCAGCCCUGGUCAACCUACCAGCUACCCAGUCUGCUCCAGCCCAUGUCAACCUACCAGCUACCCAGUCUGCUCCAGCCCAUGUCAACCUACCAGCUACCCAGUCUGCUCCAGCCCAUGUCAACCACCAGCUACCCAGUCUGCUCCAGCCCAGAUCAGCCUCCCAGUCUGCUCCAGCCCAGAUCAGCCUCCCAGUCUGCUCCAGCACAGUGUGAUCCAGCCCAGGUCAAUCUACCAGCCUCCCAGUCUGCUCCAGCCCAGGUCAACCUACCAGCUACCCAGUCUGCUCCAGACCAGGUCAACCUACCAGCCUCCCAGUCUGCUCCAGCCCAGGUCAGCCUACCAGCCUCCCAGUCUGCUCCAGCCCAGGUCAACCUACCAGCUACCCAGUCUGCUCCAGCCCAGGUCAGCCUACCAGCCUCCCAGUCUGCUCCAGCCCAGGUCAACCUACCAGCCUCCCAGUCUGCUUCAGCACAGUGUGCUCCAGCCCAGGUCAACCUACCAGCUACCCAGUCUGCUCCAGCCCAGGUCAACCUACCAGCUACCCAGUCUGCUCCAGCCCAUGUCAACCUACCAGCUACCCAGUCUGCUCCAGCCCAUGUCAACCACCAGCUACCCAGUCUGCUCCAGCCCAGAUCAGCCUCCCAGUCUGCUCCAGCCCAGAUCAGCCUCCCAGUCUGCUCCAGCACUGUGUGCUCCAGCCCUGGUCAACCUACCAGCCUCCCAGUCUGCUCCAGCCCAGGUCAACCUACCAGCCUCCCAGUCUGCUCCAGCCCAGGUCAGCCUACCAGCCUCCCAGUCUGCUCCAGCCCAGGUCAGCCUACCAGCCUCCCAGUCUGCUCCAGCACAGUCUUCUCCAGCCCAGGUCAAGCUACCAGCCUCCCAGUCUGCUCCAGCCCAGGUCAAGCCACCAGCCUCCCAGUCUUCUCCAGCACAGGUCAAGCCACCAGCCUCUCAGUCUGCUACAGCCCAGGCAAUCCUUAUUGAUUCAAAUGGAAGUUCUUAGUCCAGGAAAUAUUAUUCCCUAGACACCAGGUGUAUAAGUUCUGGUGUUCUACAACUGACAGUGCAAUGCAGCUACUCAGUCAGACCAGGGUUGACACCCCCGACAACAUCAUCAUAAACACUGGCACAAACGACCUUCAUGCCAAAGGUGUAUCUGGGGCAGUGAGAAGAGUGGCAGAACGAGCACAGGCUAUGUUCCCAACAACCGAUAUAGUUGUGUCCACUCUCCUACCAAGAAAAAACUUCCCAGGACAGUUGAUGGACAAUAUAAAUCAACAGAUCACUGUGGACUGUGCCUCACUGCUCAACGUCAGAACGGCUCACCACCCCACUCUGACAUGUCAACACUUAUACCAUAAUGUACAUCUGGAUCAGGACAGGAUCAGAACCUCUGCCAAGGACCUAAAGGAUGCAACAGUUGGCAGGGACCCACACACCCAUCACCCCAGCAGCAGAGGCCCCCCGCUCCACUUUCUGAAACGACAGUACCCCCACCAUCCCCAGGAGAGAAGAGCCAGACACGGCUUAUUACAGCACAGCUCUACUAGACCAGGCCCAUCACAACACAGCUCUACUGGACCAGACCCGUCCCAUCACAACACAGCUCUACUAGACCAGGCCCAACACAGCACAGAUUUACCAGACCAGACCUGCCUCAGGACAGCACAGCUCUACUAGACCCGGCCCAUCACAACACAGAUUUACCAGACACGUCCCAUCACAACACAGCUCUACUGGACCAGGCCCAUCACAACACAGCUCUACUGGACCAGGCCCAUCACAACACAGCUCUACUAGACCCGGCCCAUCACAACACAGCACUACUAGAUCCAGCCCAUCACAACACAGCUCUACUAGACCAGGCCCAUCACAGCACAGAUUUACCAGACCAGACCCGUCCCAUCACAAUACAGCUCUACUGGACCAGGCCCAUCACAACACAGCUCUACUGGACCAGGCCCAUCACAACACAGCUCUACUAGACCCGGCCCAUCACAACACAGCACUACUAGAUCCAGCCCAUCACAACACAGCUCUACUAGACCAGGCCCAUCACAACACAGCUCUACUAGACCAGGCCCAUCACAACACAGCUCUACUAGACCAGGCCCAUCACAACACAGCUCUACUAGACCAGGCCCAUCACAACACAGCUCUACUAGACCAGGCCCAUCACAACACAGCUCUACUAGACCAGGCCCAUCACAACACAGCUCUACUAGACCCGGCCCAUCACAACACAGCUCUGACCUCUACUCCGGGGUCGGGCAGAACACUGUCCUUCAGAGAAGUACACCACAUGAUGCAGUCCACACCAUGUAUCAUUCAGAUCAUCAGCCUCCAUAUGCUGAGGUAACCUCUGGCAAAAGACACCUAGAACAAUCAGAGAUAGGAGAGGUGCGCCAACUACUGCAACUAAUAUGCAGACUACUGGGCUAGACAGACCCUUUAAUUCUCUCUCUCUCUCUCUCUCACACACACACACACACACACACACACACACACACACACACACACACACACACACACACACACA
Molecule: long non-coding RNA, 4623 nt
Filed under: Salmo salar (Atlantic salmon)
Lineage: Eukaryota; Metazoa; Chordata; Actinopteri; Salmoniformes; Salmonidae
Description: lncRNA (ENSSSAG00000119607.1)
Source: RNAcentral